RNAcentral lists this ribosomal RNA (253 nucleotides) under uncultured bacterium. RNAcentral's name for it is "partial 16S ribosomal RNA". It matches the Rfam family "Bacterial small subunit ribosomal RNA", at positions 524 to 776 of the family's 1533-position model. The record is from RNAcentral.
UACGUAGGGGGCAAGCGUUGUCCGGAUUUAUUGGGCGUAAAGAGCGUGUAGGCGGCCAGGCAGGUCCGCUGUGAAAACUCGAGGCUCAACCUCGAGAGGUCAGUGGAAACCGUUUGGCUAGAGUCCGGAAGAGGAGAGUGGAAUUCCCGGUGUAGCGGUGAAAUGCGCAGAUAUCGGGAAGAACACCCGUGGCGAAGGCGGCUCUCUGGGACGGUACUGACGCUGAGACGCGAAAGCGUGGGGAGCGAACAGG